GUUUUGGGACGACGUGAAGGUGAGUACUUAAUGACAGAAAUUUCAUUUUUGGAUGAACCAACUAAAAUAAUAUGCUAAAUUCUAGCUGUUUAUUAAAAAUGACACUGCAUGAUAUGUGACUUAAUGAAUUGAGAUGUGGUUUUGAAAUGUGAGACCAUCUGGCAAAUUAAGCAGUUGGACUGGAAAAGAAACCUAAUUAGAUAAAACGCUUCUGGAUGUAUAUGAAGAUAAUCUAAGAUCAUUUAGUGAGCUGCGUAAUUUCUUACCCAACUGGCUCCACUAAACAGAAUUACAAAAAUAAUGUUUUCAUAAAUGUUUCCCCGCAAAACACACGCACACACAUGCUGGGUUUUUGUGUUUUAUGAGAGCUCUCGACAUCCCCUUACCAUAUCUAUAGCAUAUAAUAGCAUCUAAUUAGAACUGCAGGGUGAAAUGGGCAUAAUAGGCUUUAAUAUGUUUUAUUCCUUUCUCUUGAUUUUGGUAUGAAAUAUGACCAGGACAUGUUCUUGACAGAAUUCCCUGAGUAGGAAUAAGGGUUCUGCCAUUUUUAAUAUUCAGAGCAAAAAGGUCAAGGCUUCAAUCUAUCAAAAAUAACUAUGCCCUGAAAAUGUGAUUCAGAUGAUUCAGGUCUUUGAUUUAGGAGAUUAUUCUAUACGAGACUGUGUGACAUGGAGCGCUGUGCAUGUGAGGACAGUUACCAUAAAACUUUUCAUAGUUGUAACAGUAUAUAUUAUUUCUCAUGAAUUGCUCUGAAUAAUCCCUUGAUAAUUGUGUAUCUUACAGUUUCUGAGGAGGAUUGUUGUGGAUCUGUCUCAUGCCAAGAGAGUAACCGUGAACAUUCCAUCUUUGCUUUCUGGAAGGAAGGCCAAGUGAAGAGUCUUUAACAAUCUCUUCAGUCUUUUAUUCCAUUCAUCAUCCAUAUAUAAUAAUCUAGUCACAUUCAUAGAUUCUUAUUUGCUUAUACUCUUCAUAUUCAUUUGUACUUUACAUUUAUAUUUAUAUUUUACAUAUAUGUUGGUUUUGUCUUGCUAAAUGUCUCUGUAGUUGUAAUAGGCAUAAUGCUGUAAAGGGUAAUGUUUAAGUUUCAUUAUUAUUUUCUGGUACCAGUGAGAGCUUCUCUCUGCUGGAGUGUCUGUAUUAUCUUCCAGGCUAGGUGAUAAGGAGCCGCUGCCAUGGACACUGUGUUAUCACGGGGGUGUUUUGAUACUGUAUGCUUUGAAACAUCUCGCACAGCACUUGAGGUGGCUGUUAGAUUUCUUCUCUGGCAGCACUGGUAAUUAUGGAAGCUUGUUUAGGACUAUUCACUUAACCUGUUUCCACAAUAUUUUUAAUUAAUGUUAAAUAGUGCUGGCAGCAAUGCAGUCUACAGUACAUCUAUCUAUCCUAUCUAUAGGACAGAAGAAGUGUUUCCAUCCAUCUUCAUGACAGACAGAUGUUUGUCAAUGAAAGCUGGUAACAGACAGUCAGUCAGCAUAAGGCCUCACAGAUGAAAAAUAAAGGAUUUUAUGAUUGAAUAUCACAAAAUAUGCCAGGUCAUAUUUGAAAAAUCAAAAUCAAUAGAAAAAAUAAAAAAUGGUAUUUCUCUCAAAUAAAAUAAAGCUUACUUUUAGUAAGAAUUUUGCACUCAAUAAUGUGUUCAAAAGUUUGGAGUCAGUUUUUUUCCAUGAAAGAAAUUAAGAUUUUAAUUUUAAGAGAUCGUGUGUGAACAGGACCUUUUCAAAAAUCCUGGUAAAUUGGUCUGGCAAAUUACCUGUAGGCCUAUGAGAAGUUGUAACAUUACCAGUAAAUUACGCGUAUGAUGCUGUGUGUGAACAAAGAAUGAAGACACUUUCAUGUCUUUAGAGAAAACAAUGUCAUAUUAUGAAUAAUUGUCUGACAGACUGCAACUCAAGUCGAGGAUUCCACAGGGAAAAGAGAAGGAAGAGGGAAAUAUAGAGCCUAUUUUCAGACGUAUCUAUCUACUGUAACUAUACCUCAUCAGAAAAUUUUACUGGGGCACAGCAAAAAAGGGUCAAGUGACACCACUGCUUUUCACUGUUUUUCAAUGUAAACAUGCGCUAGAAGAAUAUCUGACCUUUGCGCCACGUGUCACGCUUGAGAACCUGCCUUUUUUUCCUGUUGUAUUCUAUAGUAACUGCAAUACUAUAGUAACUAUUAUGUGUCUGGUGUUUUUUUUAAGAGCAAAAUCGCUUUCAGUGUGAUUACACCUGUCACUCGGAAGAAAAAUAUAAGAUGGAUGAAGAAAAUGGCUCAGCGUUUAAAGUUCAUCUAGUGAGCAUUGAGGGGGAUGGUGUUCUGGACAGCUGCCCUGUCUCUCUCUUAGAGUCUGGCGUUGGGCCUUUUCCUGUCUGUGUGCAUGCAUUCAUACCCAUCAUGUGCCAAGAUCAGCAUUCAGGAGGAGACCCGAGGCCUGCCACACCAUCAGAGGGCUGCACGAGGUGAGAAGAAGCCAAGGCUGUCAGACCUGGGCCCCGUGCCUGAGCCCCUGCAGCCCUCUACAGCUGCCUCGACCAGUGCGUACUUCCAUCCCAAACACUGUUCUGGUGUGACAUCUCUCCUGCAUGCUCACAGUCUGGCAACUUGUUUCUUACUGACAUUUAAUUUCUCAGACCUUCCUGAUGUAACCGAAUUACAGGAAUCAUUCACAUUUUAUCAUUUACUCACCAUCAUGUCAUUUCAAUCCGUUUGAUAUUCUGUCUGUACUAUUAAAUCUCAAAGAAGAACAAAAAA
Molecule: long non-coding RNA, 2730 nt
Organism: Megalobrama amblycephala (Wuchang bream)
Lineage: Eukaryota; Metazoa; Chordata; Actinopteri; Cypriniformes; Xenocyprididae
Exons: 2
Source: RefSeq, a predicted model, not a curated record